Molecule: ribosomal RNA, 322 nt
Filed under: uncultured eukaryote
Lineage: Eukaryota
Description: partial 18S ribosomal RNA
Rfam family: Eukaryotic small subunit ribosomal RNA
Source: RNAcentral
CCCUUAGAUGUUCUGGGCCGCACGCGUGCUACACUGAGUAAUUCAAUGGGUAAGGGAACGCUAGAGCAUUACCUGAUCUUGAAAUUUGCUCGUGAUGGGGAUCGACGGUUGCAAUUUUCCGUCGUGAACGAGGAAUACCUUGUAGGCGCAUGUCAUCAUCAUGCGCCGAAUACGUCCCUGCCCUUUGUACACACCGCCCGUCGCUCCUACCGAUUGAGUGAUCCGGUGAGGCUCUGGGACCUGGACGGAAAGAGCGUUUCGCUUGUUCUGUUUGGGAAACUUGGUCGAACCUUAUCAUUUAGAGGAAGGAGAAGUCGUAACA